RNAcentral lists this long non-coding RNA (268 nucleotides) under Brassica napus (rape). RNAcentral describes it as "long non-coding RNA (BNAP_LNC023166)". The record is from RNAcentral. Lineage: Eukaryota; Viridiplantae; Streptophyta; Magnoliopsida; Brassicales; Brassicaceae.
AGGGAGAGUGCGGUUCUCAUUCAAGCAGCCAGAUACUGCAUUUCCCAAGGGAAAUUAUAUUGAAGGUCCUCUCAAGACUGUUGGGGUCGAAAACGGUUGCAAUGAAGUUAACGUCCAAAUUCCCGCAAAAUACAAGUAUGUCUUUUCGCAACAAAUCAUGCUCGGUUAAGAGAACGUCACAACGUAUGUUCCCGAGAUAAAUCUUCGUUCGAAUUCUAUUCAAAUCAAACAUAAGCCAUCGGAAACAUACCCAGACCGGUUACGGAUA